CCGCAGCAGCCGCCCUACGGGAGGCAAGAGAUUACAGUGGGGAAUUUUGGACAAUGGGCGCAAGCCUGAUCCAGCAAUGCCGCGUGAGUGAAGAAGGCCUUCGGGUUGUAAAGCUCUUUCAGUCGAGAAGAAAAGGCUGCAGUGAAUAACUGUAGUUUAUGACGGUAUCGACAGAAGAAGCACCGGCUAACUACGUGCCAGCAGCCGCGGUAAU
This 214-nucleotide ribosomal RNA is filed under the name uncultured bacterium. Its description in RNAcentral is "partial 16S ribosomal RNA". It matches the Rfam family "Bacterial small subunit ribosomal RNA", at positions 305 to 524 of the family's 1533-position model. The record is from RNAcentral.